This 57-nucleotide transfer RNA is filed under the name Ictidomys tridecemlineatus (thirteen-lined ground squirrel). RNAcentral describes it as "Spermophilus tridecemlineatus (thirteen-lined ground squirrel) tRNA". It matches the Rfam family "tRNA", at positions 8 to 63 of the family's 71-position model. From Rfam's summary of the family: Transfer RNA (tRNA) molecules are approximately 80 nucleotides in length. Their secondary structure includes four short double-helical elements and three loops (D, anti-codon, and T loops). Lineage: Eukaryota; Metazoa; Chordata; Mammalia; Rodentia; Sciuridae. The record is from Rfam by way of RNAcentral.
UAGCUUAAUGAUAGAGCAUGCAUUUCACAUGUGCAAGGCUCUGGGUUCAAUUUCCAG